Molecule: long non-coding RNA, 712 nt
Filed under: Equus caballus (horse)
Lineage: Eukaryota; Metazoa; Chordata; Mammalia; Perissodactyla; Equidae
Description: lncRNA (ENSECAG00000056211.1)
Source: RNAcentral
AGUGCAAGAUUUCAGAAGAGAAUCCAGGCUUGUUUUCUAGAAGUUACAGAAAGGACUUCCAAUAUCAUAGUGACUGCUUCAUAACUUAGAUGGAGGAGAUAAUAUCAUGCCGGGCCAUCCACAUUCCACAUGAAGCAGAGAAAGCAGUGAAAGUGGUCAACUGAAGAAACUUGGUAAGGCAAUGGGAGAAACUGGAGAUACAGCCACAGAUGUAGUAGCUUCCACAGGAGCAGAAGGAUCUGUCUUACAAGGAGAUAGCAUUGCCUCACUUCAGACUUCCUUGAAGUUCUGUGUUCAGUGCAGACUUUGAAGCUGAUCCUGGACUCUAGAGGGCAGCACCAGGAGUACACUGAAGAGUGGAGGAACGCUUCUGGCCCAUGCGCAAGUUUCUAGUUGUGCCUUGCCAUUGCUGAAGAAAAUGUACCCUGAUGCCUGCUCAAUCGUGACAGAAAGAAGGUGACUGCCUCUGUUGGAAAGAUAGAAACUAACUGGAAAAGGGGAACUCUGAAAACCAAGAUUUGAAAGCUGUGGUUCUGGGAUAUAAAUUUGUUAGAGAUCCAGUUUCAACAGAAAACUGGUGGCUUUCUUUAAGCAUGCUAUAUACUGAUUCACAAAAGUUGUUGGAAAAUAGUAAGAAAGAAUCUGCAGGUGGAUUGGCAAUCUCCAAAGCAGAACGUGAAGAAUAUCUGAUUACAACUGGCUAGGCACAAGG